RNAcentral lists this ribosomal RNA (209 nucleotides) under Adineta environmental sample. RNAcentral describes it as "partial large subunit ribosomal RNA". It matches the Rfam family "Eukaryotic large subunit ribosomal RNA", at positions 40 to 239 of the family's 3401-position model. The record is from RNAcentral. Lineage: Eukaryota; Metazoa; Rotifera; Eurotatoria; Adinetida; Adinetidae.
AUAUUAAUAAGCAAAGGAAAAGAAAUCAAUGAGAUAUCUCUAGUAAUGGCGAAUGAACCGGCAAAAGCUCAUUGCUGAAGCGUGUUAAAUUCACUUUUGACAUGCAUUGUAGCAUUUGGGGUGACUAUGUAUGGUACCUAUUCGUGUGAGUUCCUUUGAUCAGGGCUUUAACCAUAGAAGGUGCUAGUCCUAUAAUCACUAAAUAGUUU